Molecule: transfer RNA, 76 nt
Filed under: Orcaella brevirostris (Irrawaddy dolphin)
Lineage: Eukaryota; Metazoa; Chordata; Mammalia; Artiodactyla; Delphinidae
Description: tRNA-Leu
Rfam family: tRNA
About the family: Transfer RNA (tRNA) molecules are approximately 80 nucleotides in length.
Source: RNAcentral
GUUGAAGUGGCAGAGUAAGGCAAUUGCAUAAAACUUAAGCUUUUAUACUCAGAGGUUCAAAUCCUCUCUUCAACAG